AAAGCUGAUAUAACUGCAGCUAGACAGACUACCGCAUUGGCACAUAAGGCCUAUGAACAAGUAAUCACCAUUGGCUGGGCAGAAGCAACCCUAUUGAAACCAAUAUAUGAGUGCACAGGACUCAUACAUUGGUUACAAGCUACAGGACUCAUACAUUGAUUGGAAGCUAUGCAGAUGGAGAAAAUGAAGCGCUCCCACGAUAUUAUCAACGAUAACACCCCCAUGCACUCCCUAUAUCAUAGAAAUGGUGUGCAAUCAACAACAUAUGACUUAUACUGCCACUCCAGGCUCCACCAUAUAUAUAUUUUGGGAUUGCCAUGUGCGACUGUAAGGCCGGUCUACGACACUUGCCGGAGCGUACCACUACUAUAACGUACCAUAUUGGCACCCUGAACAUGGAGAGAAGAGUUAAGAACAGCAUAAGGAGGAAUAACUUUUAUCUAUAUAUAAGAACUUUUAUAUCAAUAUAUGAGAACUGUUAUAUACACUUAGGAAUGUUUUAUUUGUAUUAUAUACUUUGAUGUUACGUCAACGCUUAGUUAUCUGUGUUUUGUUAAUGUAGAC
This 564-nucleotide long non-coding RNA is filed under the name Androctonus crassicauda. The record is from RNAcentral. Lineage: Eukaryota; Metazoa; Arthropoda; Arachnida; Scorpiones; Buthidae.